GACGAACGCUGGCGGCGUGCUUAACACAUGCAAGUCGAGCGGUAAGGCCCUUCGGGUACGACGAGCGGCGAACGGGUGAGUAACACGUGGGUGACCUGCCUCUAGCUCUGGGAUAAGCCUGGGAAACUGGGUCUAAUACCGGAUAUGACUCCACGGCGCAUGUUGUGGGGUGGAAAGCCUUGUGUGGCUAGAGAUGGGCCCGCGGCCUAUCAGCUUGUUGGUGGGGGAUGGCCUACCAAGGCGACGACGGGUAGCCGGCCUGAGAGGGCGACCGGCCACACUGGGACUGAGACACGGCCCAGACUCCUACGGGAGGCAGCAGUGGGGAAUCUUGCGCAAUGGGCGAAAGCCUGACGCAGCGACGCCGCGUGAGGGAUGACGCCU
Molecule: ribosomal RNA, 384 nt
Filed under: uncultured bacterium
Lineage: Bacteria
Description: bacterial SSU rRNA
Rfam family: Bacterial small subunit ribosomal RNA
Source: RNAcentral